CGGCGCCGUGAAUACGUUCCCAGGCCUUGUACACACCGCCCGUCAAACCAUGAAAGUGACCAACACCCGAAGUCCGAUUCGUCGGCCUAAGGUGGGGGGCAUGAUUGGGGUU
RNAcentral lists this ribosomal RNA (112 nucleotides) under uncultured bacterium. RNAcentral's name for it is "partial 16S ribosomal RNA". It matches the Rfam family "Bacterial small subunit ribosomal RNA", at positions 1355 to 1482 of the family's 1533-position model. The record is from RNAcentral.